RNAcentral lists this ribosomal RNA (417 nucleotides) under uncultured Methanosaeta sp. Its description in RNAcentral is "bacterial SSU rRNA". It matches the Rfam family "Archaeal small subunit ribosomal RNA", at positions 330 to 747 of the family's 1478-position model. The record is from RNAcentral. Lineage: Archaea; Methanobacteriati; Methanobacteriota; Methanomicrobia; Methanotrichales; Methanotrichaceae.
GUGCAGCAGUCGAGAAAACUUUACAAUGCGGGAAACCGUGAUAAGGGAAUCUCGAGUGCCAGCAUAUAAUGUUGGCCGUCCAGAUGCCUAAAAAGCAUCUGUUAGCAAGGGCCGGGCAAGACCGGUGCCAGCCGCCGCGGUAACACCGGCGGCCCGAGUGGUAACCGCUUUUAUUGGGUCUAAAGGGUCUGUAGCCGGCCAAGUAAGUCCCUUGGGAAAUCUGGCAGCUUAACUGUCAGGCUGCUAGGGGAUACUGCUGGGCUUGGGACCGGGAGAGGUGAGAGGUACCUUGGGGGUAGGGGUGAAAUCUUGUGAUCCUCGGGGGACCACCAGUGGCGAAGGCGUCUCACCAGAACGGGUCCGACGGUAAGGGACGAAAGCUAGGGGCACGAACCGGAUUAGAUACCCCUGUAGUCC